This 445-nucleotide ribosomal RNA is filed under the name uncultured bacterium. Its description in RNAcentral is "partial 16S ribosomal RNA". It matches the Rfam family "Bacterial small subunit ribosomal RNA", at positions 354 to 796 of the family's 1533-position model. The record is from RNAcentral.
GUGAGGAAUAUUGGUCAAUGGGCGAGAGCCUGAACCAGCCAAGUCGCGUGAAGGAAGAAGGAUCUAUGGUUCGUAAACUUCUUUUGCAGGGGAAUAAAGUGCGGGACGUGUCCUGUUUUGUAUGUACCCUGAGAAUAAGGAUCGGCUAACUCCGUGCCAGCAGCCGCGGUAAUACGGAGGAUCCGAGCGUUAUCCGGAUUUAUUGGGUUUACAGGGUGCGUAGGUGGUUUGAUAAGUCAGCGGUGAAAGUUUGCAGCUUAACUGUAAAAAUGCCGUUGAAACUGUCGGACUUGAGUGUAAAUGAGGUAGGCGGAAUGCGUGGUGUAGCGGUGAAAUGCAUAGAUAUCACGCAGAACUCCGAUUGCGAAGGCAGCUUACUAAGCUACAACUGACACUGAAGCACGAAAGCGUGGGGAUCAAACAGGAUUAGAAACCCUUGUAGUCC